Molecule: ribosomal RNA, 434 nt
Filed under: uncultured bacterium
Lineage: Bacteria
Description: partial 16S ribosomal RNA
Rfam family: Bacterial small subunit ribosomal RNA
Source: RNAcentral
AGCGAACGCUGGCGGCAGGCCUAACACAUGCAAGUCGAACGAACCUUUCGGGGUUAUUGGCGGACGGGUGUGUAACACGUCGGAACGUGCCUUUAUGUUCGGAAUAACUCUGGGAAACUUGUGCUAAUACCGAAUGUGCGCUUCUGGGGGAAGAUUUAUCGCCUUUAGAGCGGCAGGCGUCGGAUUAGCUAGUUGUGUGAGGUAAUGGCGCACCAAGGCGACGAUCACUAGCUGGUCUGAGAGGAUGAUCAGCCACACCGGGUGUGAGACACGGCCGAAACUCCUCCGGGAGGCAGCAGAGGGGGAUCGUGCGAAAUGGGGGAAAGCAUGAAGGAGUCAGGACGGGUGAACGAUGAAGGUCGUAGGAUUGUAAAAUUCUUUCAACGGGGAAGAUAAUGACGGUACCCGGAGAAGAAGCCCCGGCUAACUUCGUG